RNAcentral lists this ribosomal RNA (471 nucleotides) under uncultured bacterium. RNAcentral's name for it is "SSU rRNA". It matches the Rfam family "Bacterial small subunit ribosomal RNA", at positions 28 to 497 of the family's 1533-position model. The record is from RNAcentral.
GAUGAACGCUGGCGGCGUGCUUAACACAUGCAAGUUGAACGAAGCUUAUAGCACCGAUUCCUUCGGGGAGAAGUGUUAUGAGACUUAGUGGCGAACGGGUGAGUAACACGUGAGCAACCAACCCCUUACAGUGGAAUAACAACGGGAAACCGUUGCUAAUACCGCAUAAUAUCCCUAUAUGGCAUCAUACAGGGAUCAAAGAUUUAUCGGUGAGGGACGGGCUCGCGUCCGAUUAGGUAGUAGGUAAGGUAACGGCUUACCUAGCCGACGAUCGGUAGCCGGACUGAGAGGUCGAUCGGCCACAUUGGGACUGAGACACGGCCCAGACUCCUACGGGAGGCAGCAGUGGGGAAUAUUGGGCAAUGGGGGCAACCCUGACCCAGCGACGCCGCGUGAAGGACGAAGGCAUUCGUGUUGUAAACUUCUUUGGAGAGGGACGAAAAUGACGGUACCUCUCGAACAAGCCACGGC